This is a long non-coding RNA of Homo sapiens (human), 2157 nucleotides long. The record is from Ensembl. Lineage: Eukaryota; Metazoa; Chordata; Mammalia; Primates; Hominidae.
AAUGGGUGGUCCUAAUGGAAACUCAAGGUUUGAAAGGCAGUGAUGUAAGACAAGCAACCCUAGAGAAAGAAGCGGCUGUCACAAAGGCCAGACCCAAAUGCCAUGUUAAGAGAUGGAUGAAGACUAGGAACUGUAGAGAAGGGUAGAACCAGUGUUAACUUCAGCUGAUGUACAUGCUUCUGCCAAAUAAAACUGCACAGCAGUAAAACAGGCAGAGAAGAAAGAAUCAACAGCAAAGGUAGAACUGGAACCAUGGAAAUCUCCAGGAGAGAGGUUGUGUCAAGGACGGCAAGGUAAGGGCAGGGUACUUUUUGAGCGGUGGCAACCAAUAAUUGAUACUUCUGCCUCUGAAUGUUUUCAGAAGAGUAACUUCUGCUCCUCUCUCUCCCAACCUUGUGGAGGAGUGACCUGAUGGCUAAAUUGAGAAUAGAACUGCAAUUCAUGGUUCUCUCUCUGUGGCUACAGGGCAAGGAGCCAUGGAAACUGAAGGAAACUUGGACUGGACAUCAGAGACCAUAGGAGCUGACCUGUAGAGCCCCUUGACUUUACCGGUUAGGUUCAAAAGCUAACCACCAAAUACUAGGGCUAGUGCUUCUUUCAGUGUGCUACCCUCCUCUCUUCUUUCUUCAUCAGUCCUGAGGCAAGCAGGCCCACGCUGCUAAUCCCAAGUUGACCCAGGAGUACACUAAGGCUUGGACAGUUUAGUUGAUCUACCCAAGAACACAGGAACACUCCUGACUUCCAGCCCAGUGUGGUUUCCAUUAGACAUUCUUGCCAUGGCAUGAAAACCACAAUGAGGUCAGGCAGAUAGCUCUGCAACCUGGAACUCUGAGUGAAAUCGGUUAUGACUGCAGCUGACAUACACGGCCCCAUACAGCCCAGCAAGGAAGGGGGCAAAGGUCACACCAAGUCAGGACAGAGGCUGUGCCUCUGCUGUGUUCAGGAAACCUUGAGACAAAUUUCUUCUCCAAUAACAACUCCCUGAUGUAAACUAACCAAAAGAAAGCAAACCCAAGUUUCUGCAUAUUUUAAUUGUUUUGUAUGAUUUUUGCUGGUCUUAGAGUGCUUGUGAGUCAGAAGCAAUUUCAGGAAAUGCUGCCCAUGUCACCAGCUGGAAUCCAGGCUCCUGUUCUGCAAGAGCUUUCAGAUGCAGGCACAUGUUUGAGCAUGCGUGCACACACACACACACACACACACACACACACACAAGCUCUCACACAUGCCUACACUCACAUUCACAAACUGGCACAUUCACAUACACUCACAGGCAUACACACACACGUAAACUCAUAUACACAUACAUUCCCACAUGCAGUGGCACACAAAUUCACAUACAUACACAUACUCACAUACUUAUACAAACACACAUGCUCAUAUAUACUCUCACAUAAUACACACAAACCCACAUACACACACCCAAUCAUACUCCCUCAUAUACACACAUACAUUCGCAUACAUACUCAUGCACUCACACAUACCCACACACGUGCACAUGCACACACGUGCAAACACACAGAGCCAAGACUUAGCUGUGGCCAAGUCUUCCUGACACUAAAUAUAAGCAUGAUAUGCUCGGUGCAAAAGGCACUUGUUGCAUGAGAAUUGAAACUGGAUCAAGUCCACUGAUUAUUUAGCUAUUUCCAAAUAUCUGCAUGUUUUGCUUUGUGGACAUCUGAAUAGUUGGCGGGGGCAAGCUUUUCUCUGUACCUCCUUCCCUCUGGGGAUGUGUGAAUCAGUUGUUCCUAACCAUCCCUUCCCACCAAGCCAUAGCAGUGGGAAGUGAGGUCAGUUAACUGUCUCCGUUGCAAAAGGUACACAUAAAAUUGCCGAUUUGAAGGACGGGGGACUGAAGGGACUUUGCAAAGUGACAGCUGCAGCCCCCUGUCUCAGCAGGGGCCAUCCUUCCGGAGGAAGAGAAGCCGACAGCCCUCCCUACUCCCUCCCCACUUUCUCAUAAGUCCUCAACAAAGGUCUGGAAGCCUUCACACCUUCUAGUCUUUCCACAGGGGUACAUCCCAGGCCACAUCACACUUCCACAGGGACUUUGGAUCUCUGCCGAAUCCAGGAGCCUAGGAUACAGUGAUGGCUCUCUGUCUAUGGGAACAAAAUUCUUUCUGUAAAAUGUGAUACAACAUAAUAAACAAAGGGUAUACAAAA